RNAcentral lists this ribosomal RNA (773 nucleotides) under Actinomycetes bacterium. RNAcentral's name for it is "bacterial SSU rRNA". It matches the Rfam family "Bacterial small subunit ribosomal RNA", at positions 60 to 844 of the family's 1533-position model. Lineage: Bacteria; Bacillati; Actinomycetota; Actinomycetes. The record is from RNAcentral.
AGUCGAACGGUAAGGGCCCCAUCGGGGGUACACGAGUGGCGAACCGGGUGAGUAACACGUGGGUGAUCUGCCCUGCACUCUGGGAUAAGCUGGGAAACUGGGUCUAAUACCGGAUAUGAGCUCCUGUCGCAUGGCGGGGGUUGGAAAAGAUUUACUGGUGCAGGAUGGGCCGCGGCCUAUCAGCUUGUUGGUGGGGUAAUGGCCUACCCAAGGCGACGACGGGUAGCCGCCUGAGAGGGCGACCGGCCACACUGGGACUGAGACACGGCCCAGACUCCUACGGGAGGCAGCAGUGGGGAAUAUUGCACAAUGGGCGAAAGCCUGAUGCAGCGACGCCGCGUGAGGGAUGACGGCCUUCGGGUUGUAAACCUCUUUCAGCAGGGACGAAGCGAGAGUGACGGUACCUGCAGAAGAAGCACCGGCCAACUACGUGCCAGCAGCCGCGGUAAUACGUAGGGUGCGAGCGUUGUCCGGAAUUACUGGGCGUAAAGAGCUCGUAGGCGGUUUGUCGCGUCGUCCGUGAAAACUUGGGGCUCAACCCCAAGCUUGCGGGCGAUACGGGCAGACUUGAGUACUGCAGGGGAGACUGGAAUUCCUGGUGUAGCGGUGAAAUGCGCAGAUAUCAGGAGGAACACCGGUGGCGAAGGCGGGUCUCUGGGCAGUAACUGACGCUGAGGAGCGAAAGCGUGGGUAGCGAACAGGAUUAGAUACCCUGGUAGUCCACGCCGUAAACGGUGGGCGAAUAGGUGUGGGUUUCCUUCCACGGGAUCCGU